RNAcentral lists this ribosomal RNA (460 nucleotides) under uncultured bacterium. RNAcentral's name for it is "partial 16S ribosomal RNA". It matches the Rfam family "Bacterial small subunit ribosomal RNA", at positions 338 to 795 of the family's 1533-position model. The record is from RNAcentral.
CCUACGGGGGGCAGCAGUGAGGAAUAUUGGUCAAUGGACGGAAGUCUGAACCAGCCAUGCCGCGUGCAGGAAGACGGCUCUAUGAGUUGUAAACUGCUUUUGUACAAGGGUAAACCUGAAUACGUGUAUUCAGCUGAAAGUACUGUACGAAUAAGGAUCGGCUAACUCCGUGCCAGCAGCCGCGGUAAUACGGAGGAUCCAAGCGUUAUCCGGAUUUAUUGGGUUUAAAGGGUGCUUAGGCGGAUUGAUAAGUUAGAGGUGAAAUGUCCGAGCUUAACUCGGGAACUGCCUCUAAUACUGUUGAUCUAGAGAAUAGAUGCGGUAGGCGGAAUGUAUGGUGUAGCGGUGAAAUGCUUAGAGAUCAUACAGAACACCGAUUGCGAAGGCAGCUUACCAAUCUAUAUCUGACGUUGAGGCACGAAAGCGUGGGGAGUAAACAGGAUUAGAUACCCGAGUAGUC